RNAcentral lists this ribosomal RNA (495 nucleotides) under uncultured bacterium. Its description in RNAcentral is "partial 16S ribosomal RNA". It matches the Rfam family "Bacterial small subunit ribosomal RNA", at positions 28 to 507 of the family's 1533-position model. The record is from RNAcentral.
GACGAACGCUGGCGGCGUGCCUAAUACAUGCAAGUAGAACGCUGAAGGAGGAGCUUGCUUCUCUGGAUGAGUUGCGAACGGGUGAGUAACGCGUAGGUAACCUGCCUGGUAGCGGGGGAUAACUAUUGGAAACGAUAGCCAAUACCGCAUAAGAGUAGAUGUUUCAUGACAUUUGCUUAAAAGGUGCAAUUGCAUCACUACCAGAUGGCCCUGCGUUGUAUUAGCUAGUUGGUGAGGUAACGGCUCACCACGGCAACGAUACAUAGCCGACCUGAGAGGGUGAUCGGCCACACUGGGACUGAGACACGGCCCAGACUCCUACGGGAGGCAGCAGUAGGGAAUCUUCGGCAAUGGACGGAAGUCUGACCGAGCAACGCCGCGUGAGUGAAGAAGGUUUUCGGAUCGUAAAGCUCUGUUGUAAGAGAAGAACGAGUGUGAGAGUGGAAAGUUCACAAUGUGACGGUAUCUUACCAGAAAGGGACGGCUAACUACGUG